This 469-nucleotide ribosomal RNA is filed under the name uncultured bacterium. RNAcentral describes it as "SSU rRNA". It matches the Rfam family "Bacterial small subunit ribosomal RNA", at positions 26 to 521 of the family's 1533-position model. The record is from RNAcentral.
AGCCUGAACGCUGGCGGCGUGGCUAAGACAUGCAAGUCGAACGGGUGUAGCAAUACACCAGUGGCGGACGGGUGAGUAAUGAAUCGCUAAUGUACCCCGGAGCCAGGGAUAGCUGCCCGAAAGGGCAGGUAAUACCUGAUGAGACCACAGUACCGCAUGGUACGGUGCUCAAAGCCGCAAGGCACUCUGGGAGCAGGCGAUUUUGUAUCAGCUAGUUGGUGAGGUAAUGGCUCACCAAGGCGACGACGCAUAGCCGGACUGAGAGGUUGGCCGGCCACAUUGGGACUGAGACACUGCCCAGACUCCUACGGGGGGCUGCAGUAACGAAUCUUCCGCAAUGCACGAAAGUGUGACGGAGCGACGCCGCGUGUAGGACGAAGCCCUUCGGGGUGUAAACUACUGUCAGGGGAAAGAAGUUCUGAUCUACCCCAGAGGAAGAGACGGCUAACUCUGUGCCAGCAGCCGCGGU